AACAUCCAAAGAGGAGGAGACUCAAGACACCUUUCUACAAUUCUAUACCAAACAGUUCACAUCUGAAACCCUAUCUAUACAUGAAGAUUGUUUCCCUCCUGACUAUCUUAAGUGUAAACAAAGAUUACAAUUUUAGAUCAAAGAAGGGAACAACAUAACAGCUAAUUCGGAUAUCUCAAUUUUAAAUCAUAUAUUGUCAGUAACUAAUUGAAAUUGUAAUGAACAAAAUCAC
Molecule: long non-coding RNA, 232 nt
Filed under: Lathyrus oleraceus (garden pea)
Lineage: Eukaryota; Viridiplantae; Streptophyta; Magnoliopsida; Fabales; Fabaceae
Description: Pisum sativum (pea) long non-coding RNA (PSAT_LNC015138)
Source: RNAcentral